RNAcentral lists this ribosomal RNA (450 nucleotides) under uncultured bacterium. RNAcentral describes it as "partial 16S ribosomal RNA". It matches the Rfam family "Bacterial small subunit ribosomal RNA", at positions 354 to 796 of the family's 1533-position model. The record is from RNAcentral.
GUGGGGAAUCUUCCGCAAUGGACGAAAGUCUGACGGAGCAACGCCGCGUGAGUGAUGAAGGUCUUCGGAUUGUAAAGCUCUGUUAAUCGGGACGAAAGAGCCUAGUGUGAAUAAUGCUAGGAAGUGACGGUACCGGAAUAGAAAGCCACGGCUAACUACGUGCCAGCAGCCGCGGUAAUACGUAGGUGGCAAGCGUUGUCCGGAAUUAUUGGGCGUAAAGCGCGCGCAGGCGGAUCUGCCAGUCUGUCUUAAAAGUUCGGGGCUUAACCCCAUGAUGGGAUGGAAACUACAGAUCUAGAGUAUCGGAGAGGAAAGUGGAAUUCCUAGUGUAGCGGUGAAAUGCGUAGAUAUUAGGAAGAACACCAGUGGCGAAGGCGACUUUCUGGACGAAAACUGACGCUGAGGCGCGAAAGCCAGGGGAGCGAACGGGAUUAGAAACCCUGGUAGUCC